UUACUCUUUCGAUUUUCAUGGGCCUAGCUCCUUAUGAGUGAUGGAUUCUCAUCAUGUUACACGUGAUGAGCCCGAAUAAAGUCCAACCCUACUUAAAGAUUUACAUACGUGAACUUUUAUGCUGAAGGGACUUUCCCAUCACGUUACAUGUGAUGGGCUCAUAUAAAGUCUGAAGCCUUCAAAAUUAGAUCGAAAGGUCACAUUUGUCACUGUUCAUUGGGUUGUUGGUUGAUUUCUAAAAUGUAUUAAAGCACGAUCAGAUCUGGAAAGAUCAAACGUAAGGCGUCUGGACUUUAAUGCCUAGGACAGGGAGUUCAUCAUUUAGGGGAACACCUUUGCUGCACAACGAGGUUUGCUUCAGGCUUUUCUGAUGCCUAGGACAGGGAGUUCAUCAUUUAGGGGAACUCAUUGAAUUAUUCUAUGCAUUUUCUCUUACCAACCCUUGAAAUUGUAUUUACACGAGCACUUUUCUCCAGUCAUCAAGUUAGUCUAAGUUACUGUAUGUUAGACAUCUCAAUGGCUUCGCACCAGGCUUCAGCUCUAUUAGGAAAAUUUUUCCACAUAAAACUUCAAAUAGUUGAUCAGUGGACAUGGCUCGACUCCCCCAGCAUAGAAUUAUCUAUGUAUUUUCUUAGUCAUGCAUCAUUGACCAGUUACGUCAGUAACCAAUUGCAUAUUCUUAGAUAAGAUGACAUCUUGUGAAGAAAUUUGGAUGACAACAAAGAAGAUGGAGUUAUGGAUGAACUUUUAUUUGCUUUAAUGGGUAUCAUGGAAC
Syzygium oleosum is the source of this 775-nucleotide long non-coding RNA. RefSeq lists it as uncharacterized. The record is from RefSeq and is a predicted model, not a curated record. The transcript has 3 exons. NCBI's taxonomy places the organism in Eukaryota, Viridiplantae, Streptophyta, Magnoliopsida, Myrtales, Myrtaceae.